CCCGGUGACAGGUGCUGCAUGGCUGUCGUCAGCUCGUGUCGUGAGAUGUUGGGUUAAGUCCCGCAACGAGCGCAACCCUCGCCUUUAGUUGCCAGCAUUCAGUUGGCACUCUAAAGGGACUGCCGGUGUCAAACCGGAGGAAGGUGGGAUGACGUCAAGUCCUCAUGGCCUUUAUGUCUAGGGCUACACACGUACUACAAUGGCAGGUACAAAGGGCAGCGACACAGCGAUGUGAUGCGAAUCCCGAAAAGCCUGUCUCAGUCCGGAUCGGAGUCUGCAACUCGACUCCGUGAAGUUGGAAUCGCUAGUAAUCGUGGAUCAGCAUGCCACGGUGAAUACCGUUCCCGGGCCUU
This 353-nucleotide ribosomal RNA is filed under the name uncultured Desulfobulbus sp. RNAcentral's name for it is "bacterial SSU rRNA". It matches the Rfam family "Bacterial small subunit ribosomal RNA", at positions 1027 to 1382 of the family's 1533-position model. Lineage: Bacteria; Pseudomonadati; Thermodesulfobacteriota; Desulfobulbia; Desulfobulbales; Desulfobulbaceae. The record is from RNAcentral.